RNAcentral lists this ribosomal RNA (253 nucleotides) under uncultured bacterium. Its description in RNAcentral is "partial 16S ribosomal RNA". It matches the Rfam family "Bacterial small subunit ribosomal RNA", at positions 524 to 776 of the family's 1533-position model. The record is from RNAcentral.
UACGUAGGGUGCGAGCGUUGUCCGGAAUUAUUGGGCGUAAAGGGCUCGUAGGCGGUUUGUCACGUCGGGAGUGAAAACUCGGGGCUUAACCCCGAGCCUGCUUCCGAUACGGGCUGACUAGAGGUAUGCAGGGGAGAACGGAAUUCCUGGUGUAGCGGUGAAAUGCGUAGAUAUCAAGAGGAACACCUGCGGCGAAGGCGGGUUGCUGGGCCGACACUGACGCUGAGGCGCGAAAGCCAGGGGAGCGAACGGG